GCUGACGGAAGCAGCUGUAAGUUGGUGCGCGCCUCUGCCGUGAAGCGAGGAGCAGCGCCCAAGCCGG
Molecule: non-coding RNA, 67 nt
Filed under: Prorocentrum minimum
Lineage: Eukaryota; Dinophyceae; Prorocentrales; Prorocentraceae
Source: RNAcentral